GGGGCCUGGCCCUCGGGGGCGGGGCCGGGCGGGGCGAGCGCUCCAGGCCUCCUCCCAACUCUGCGCAGGGCCAAGCCCUUCUGCCCCGCACCGUCCCGUUACCCCUGGACCUCGGGCCGCCAGCCCCUUCCACCUGCAGUCUCCCGCUGCUCUCGCGGGGGCUUUUCGUGUGUCCCCCGAGAUGUCGAGGAAGCCAGAUGAGUUCCUCGCGACAGGCGGUGCCUUUUGCAGGAGGGGACAGGUAGCUGAGGCCUGGACAGAAUGACAGGCCAGGCUCAGGGGACACAGGGGAGACCCCCUCACUGGGCUGCCAGUUCCCGGGCUUGGGGCAUCCCAGGACGUCAGCGUCUGCAGCCUUACCUCCUGACACCUAAGGCCAGAGACAGAGCGGGCCCACGCCUUCGGAGGUCCUGAUGUCCAGCUUGGAGGUCAAGGGCAAAGCCACCACCUUUCACAAUACGAGGCCAGACCACCUGCCUCCCGCCAGUCCCUGCGGCCUGGAGACCGAGUCAACAUUCUUAUCUGUGUUGGUUCUGAAUGUUCCUCCUUGCAAAAGAAAACAAGGAGUGGACGUUCAGGCUGAUGGCCAGCUUCAAAGAUUGGGGCCUUUGAUUCCCAUCGCUGGGAAGAAAGCCCUUCAGACAAGCCCCCUGGGCUGCGGUGCAUGGGGACCUUGAAGAACCCGUACCCAUGGUCCCACGUCCAUGUAUGUUGAGACCUGUCACAUCCUCGCUGAAACUCAAGAACGUGAAACAGGUGAAUGUGUGUUUUGAGGCAGUAGCAUACCAGGGCUCUGGUGUGGGCACCACAGCGUGAGUGAGACAACAGCCUCAGCCCGUCCAGGUCACUGCAGAAGAGGAAAGCAGCCCCCGCAGGCCCCGCAGUGGUGCCCGCCUUUCUCCACCCCCAAGUCCUUCCUCUCCACCCCUCAGCUCCAAACAGCUGGAGGUCGGGUGGGGGAGGCAGGUAUCCAUUCCUGAAGUUACACAGCAGGGCCUGGAGACAGGAGAUGCCACUGGCCAGACCACCGUCAGUCACUAAUGAGGCACAGGCAGUCGGAACUGCCCAGUUUCUGAGUUACAGGAGCCUGGGGUGGGGGCUGCCAGACUAGUAAAACUGACCUUAUUGGCAGGAUCGCUCAUGGCUUUUCUGUUGAUGAACAGAGCCCAGUUCUCCCGCGGUGACUGUGAUCCUUCUUCCUGGGGAGUCCUGCUCUCCCUGACCAGGGGCACCUGCCCACCUGUCAGCUGCUCCUCCCUCAGCUGGUCCUCCUGGGCUCUGAUGGCCCCAACAUUUCUAGCUCUUCUCACCCACGGUGCCCCAGCUUCAUGCAGCUGCAGCAGGACACAGUAACAAGCUGUCAUCUUGGGAGGAGACACCAGGCCCUGACCAGACGCUGAACCUGCGCAGCCCCCAGAACUGUGAGAAAUAAAUUUCUGUUCUUUAUAAAUACCCAGUCCGUGGCGUUUUGUUACAGCAGCACGAACAGACUGAGAUAGCGGCUUACACAUAACUGGAAGCUGCAGAAAAAACCUUCAGACAGCCAAGACGGCUCCCAGGACUCAUGCCUGGCACAGACGCCAUCUGCCUGGCAGGGCGAAGAAAGGCGUCUGUGGGUGUGGGAAGAUGCCGAGUCUAACACCCUGAGCCCAGCCAGGAAGGGGCCAGGAAGGCCUCCCUGUGAACGACGAAUGAAACGGAACCCAGAUCUCAGACAGGGCAGGGAAGGGGAGGGGGCACCACGUCUAGCAGCACUCUCUGUGUAAGUCGGCACCUGUGCACACCUGCAUGCACACAUGUGUGUUGUGUGUGUAUUUAUGCACACACAGUACACAGGUGCACGCACAUCAUGUACAUACAUGUUUGCGUGUGUGCACGUGUGUACGUGCAUGUACACAGCAUGCAUGUGUGUGUAUACUUGCAUGCAUGCUAACAUGUGGCAGAGAAUAAAUAAUGAUCACCUCUCUGGAACUGGGUAAAGUAAGUGCUAAACAGAUUUUCUACAGGAAAUGCUGCUGCAAGGAAUUCCUCUGUAGGCUAGCACUAAAACCUGGAAGCUGGGGGCAGGGAGCAGUGGGGAGCGGAAAUCUUCCCAGAGCUCUCAUCAGAAGUGAGGAAGGCUGGAUACAGUGUCUCACGCCAGUAAUCCCACGCUUUGAGAGGCAAAGGCAGGAGGAUCACUUGAGCCCAGGAGUUUGAGACCAGCCCGGGCAACAUGACGAAUCCCCAUUUCUACAAAAAUACAAUUAGCCAAGCAUUGUGGUGUGCACCUGCAGUCCCAGCUACUUGGGAGGCUGAGGCAGGAGGAUUGCUUGGGCCCCGGAGGUCUAGGCUUCAGUGGCCGUGAUCGCACCACUGUACUCCAGCCUGGAAGACAGAGUGAGACCCUGUUUCAAAAAAAAAAAAAAAAAAAA
This is a long non-coding RNA of Macaca mulatta (Rhesus monkey), 2414 nucleotides long. Lineage: Eukaryota; Metazoa; Chordata; Mammalia; Primates; Cercopithecidae. The record is from Ensembl.